AGUGAACGCUGGCGGUAGGCCUAACACAUGCAAGUCGAACGGCAGCACAGUAAGAGCUUGCUCUUACGGGUGGCGAGUGGCGGACGGGUGAGGAAUACAUCGGAAUCUACUUUUUCGUGGGGGAUAACGUAGGGAAACUUACGCUAAUACCGCAUACGACCUACGGGUGAAGGCAGGGGAUCUUCGGACCUUGCGCGAUUGAAUGAGCCGAUGUCGGAUUAGCUAGUUGGCGGGGUAAAGGCCCACCAAGGCGACGAUCCGUAGCUGGUCUGAGAGGAUGAUCAGCCACACUGGAACUGAGACACGGUCCAGACUCCUACGGGAGGCAGCAGUGGGGAAUAUUGGACAAUGGGCGCAAGCCUGAUCCAGCCAUACCGCGUGGGUGAAGAAGGCCUUCGGGUUGUAAAGCCCUUUUGUUGGGAAAGAAAAGCAGCAGGUUAAUACCCCGCCGUUCUGACGGUACCCAAAGAAUAAGCACCGGCUAACUUCGUG
This 492-nucleotide ribosomal RNA is filed under the name uncultured bacterium. Its description in RNAcentral is "partial 16S ribosomal RNA". It matches the Rfam family "Bacterial small subunit ribosomal RNA", at positions 29 to 507 of the family's 1533-position model. The record is from RNAcentral.